GGCCUCUUACAGCUAUUAAAAUUACUAGUAAUUAAUAAUAAGUGGUGACCCACUAUUCUCGAAGAAGAAACCCCCCCCCCCUGAGGCCUG
RNAcentral lists this non-coding RNA (90 nucleotides) under Cavenderia fasciculata. Lineage: Eukaryota; Evosea; Eumycetozoa; Acytosteliales; Cavenderiaceae. The record is from Rfam by way of RNAcentral.